RNAcentral lists this long non-coding RNA (729 nucleotides) under Ursus maritimus (polar bear). Its description in RNAcentral is "lncRNA (ENSUMAG00000021285.1)". The record is from RNAcentral. Lineage: Eukaryota; Metazoa; Chordata; Mammalia; Carnivora; Ursidae.
UUAUCUUUCACUAUGCUGCUUAUAAAAUUAAAUAAAAAUGUGCAUGCAUAUUGAUACAUGUGCAUUCUGAUUGGUUUUGACCUAUUUGGUUGAGACUUCUCUCCACUUCUUGCUUCACACACAGCCCAUCCCAGGAGGCAGAGGGACAGCACCCACAUGGCCUGAACCCUUUCCCCAGACUCCACUCAUCCCACCAAUGGGGAAGCAGGCCCCGAGAGAGGAAUAGAGAAGAGAGGCCAAGUGCCAUGUCACAGACCGCUGACCUCCCACUGGGGGGUAGUGGGAUGGGCUUGAACUGGACAGGAGGCCGAGAUUUUAGUAAUCUGCUCUCAAAACAACCACUGGAAUGGGCUUCAUUUAGCCAAAAAGACCCAGACAUGAAGGUGGGAUCACUGACAAGAGAUGGAGAGACAUCUCUCUGCAGAACUUUCCAUGGCCCAGCAACAUUCUCNNNNNNNNNNNNNNNNNCCAGAAGACCUCAACGUAAAUUGGCUGAAAGAGUCCAAUACUCGUGAGGAAGGAACUCGUGGCAAUGCUUUAAUAAAGAAAGACAAUAGAGAGACUCUUGAAAUAGUUCAAGACUAUAACGUCUUCAUUAGAAGUGCCUUUUUACUUACCAUUCUCCCAGAAACUCCCCCAGUCAGCGGCGUCUUUGGGAAUCCAGAAAGCAACCUCCUGAAACUGUCACAUGAACCAGUCUGCGAAGAUUUCAUAAUAGCAGCCAGAUGA